Molecule: ribosomal RNA, 532 nt
Filed under: uncultured bacterium
Lineage: Bacteria
Description: bacterial SSU rRNA
Rfam family: Bacterial small subunit ribosomal RNA
Source: RNAcentral
GGCCUUGACAUACUAAGAACUUUCCAGAGAUGGAUUGGUGCCUUCGGGAACUUAGAUACAGGUGCUGCAUGGCUGUCGUCAGCUCGUGUCGUGAGAUGUUGGGUUAAGUCCCGNAACGAGCGCAACCCUUUUCCUAUUUGCCAGCGGGUCAUGCCGGGAACUUUAAGGAUACUGCCAGUGACAAACUGGAGGAAGGCGGGGACGACGUCAAGUCAUCAUGGCCCUUACGGCCAGGGCUACACACGUGCUACAAUGGUCGGUACAAAGGGUUGCUACCUCGCGAGAGGAUGCUAAUCUCAAAAAGCCGAUCGUAGUCCGGAUCGCAGUCUGCAACUCGACUGCGUGAAGUCGGAAUCGCUAGUAAUCGCGGAUCAGAAUGCCGCGGUGAAUACGUUCCCGGGCCUCGUACACACCGCCCGUCACACCAUGGGAGUUUGUUGCACCAGAAGUAGGUAGUCUAACCGCAAGGAGGACGCUUACCACGGUGUGGCCGAUGACUGGGGUGAAGUCGUAACAAGGUAAGCGUAGAUGA